RNAcentral lists this ribosomal RNA (253 nucleotides) under uncultured bacterium. RNAcentral's name for it is "partial 16S ribosomal RNA". It matches the Rfam family "Bacterial small subunit ribosomal RNA", at positions 524 to 776 of the family's 1533-position model. The record is from RNAcentral.
UACGAAGGGAGCUAGCGUUGUUCGGAAUCACUGGGCGUAAAGCGCACGUAGGCGGAUGUGUCAGUCAGGGGUGAAAUCCUGGAGCUCAACUUCGGAACUGCCCUUGAUACAGCACGUCUUGAGUCCGGAAGAGGUGGGUGGAAUUCCUAGUGUAGAGGUGAAAUUCGUAGAUAUUAGGAAGAACACCGGUGGCGAAGGCGGCCCACUGGUCCGGUACUGACGCUGAGGUGCGAAAGCGUGGGGAGCAAACAGG